Molecule: long non-coding RNA, 1396 nt
Filed under: Sus scrofa (pig)
Lineage: Eukaryota; Metazoa; Chordata; Mammalia; Artiodactyla; Suidae
Description: lncRNA (ENSSSCG00070018982.1)
Source: RNAcentral
AUGCUGCUCUCCUGGGUCAGGGCGAGAGAGCACACACACCACAAGGGUUUCCACAAGGAGGAAGGGCCACGCUGGCGCCAGGGGACCAGGGCCCCUCCACCUGGAGACCCGCACUGCAUCGGGCUGCCACGGCUCCCCAGCCUCCCCAGCCUCCCCUCGCUCUGGGUGUCUGCAGCCACACGGACCCUGCCUGGGGGCCGGGCGGGGGGUGGUGCAGGCCCGGCCUGCACAGAGGCGUGCCAGGGGCACAGAGAGAGGCCCCGGCAUUCUUCUCCCACGUCCCAGGGCCCGAAAGAUGGAUCCCCAAGGCCGGCUCCCCGCCCCCAACACGGCAACAAGGUGCCCACGGAGGCACAUUCAGGCCCACUGGGGCAACCUGCGCCACACCCCCGACACGACCGGGAAACCCAAACCCCUGGCACCUCCUCUGCCUCAGGACUUCCGCCAGGACUCACCGCCCCUGCGGAAACCCUCUCUCUUCCUUUGUUCUCUCCCUCUCUCUCUCUCCCUCUCGGUCCCACCCGCUGUCACCCUUUCCCUGGCGAGCGCGCGCGCACCGAAGCUUUCUCUCCUUUGCUGGACCCAUCCGACGCACGAUCAGCCACUUGCCCUCACAAGAGUCUGUCCGUGCCCACUGGUCUGCGGGAGCUCCUCGGCCUCGCGCGGUGGCACGCCACAAGAUCAGGGGUCCGCCAUGCUGCUCUCCUGGGUCAGGGCGAGAGAGCACACACACCACAAGGGUUUCCACAAGGAGGAAGGGCCACGCUGGCGCCAGGGGACCAGGGCCCCUCCACCUGGAGACCCGCACUGCAUCGGGCUGCCACGGCUCCCCAGCCUCCCCAGCCUCCCCUCUCUCUGGGUGUCUGCAGCCACACGGACCCUGCCUGGGGACGGGCGGGGGGUGGUGCAGGCCCGGCCUGCACAGAGGCGUGCCAGGGGCACAGAGAGAGGCCCCGGCAUUCUUCUCCCACGUCCCAGGGCCCGAAAGAUGGAUCCCCAAGGCCGGCUCCCCGCCCCCCAACACGGCAACAAGGUGCCCCACGGAGGCACAUUCAGGCCCACUGGGGCAACCUGCGCCACACCCCGACACGACCGGGAAACCCAAACCCCUGGCACCUCCUCUGCCUCAGGACUUCCGCCAGGACUCACCGCCCCUGCGGAAACCCUCUCUCUUCCUUUGUUCUCUCCCUCUCUCUCUCUCCCUCUCGGUCCCACCCGCUGUCACCCUUUCCCUGGCGAGCGCGCGCGCACCGAAGCUUUCUCUCCUUUGCUGGACCCAUCCGACGCACGAUCAGCCACUUGCCCUCACAAGAGUCUGUCCGUGCCAGCCGGCUCUCCAGGAACCCCAGCACGGGAGCACUGAUGCUACCCUGCCCUGACGAAGGGUGACGGCCAC